UGUUGCCCAAUCUUACUAAUAUACCCUUCCUUCAAAUAUUUUUUACACUAACAAAAGGCUAUCUAAGUAAUUAACAAAAUAAAUAUUGCUCAAUGCCAUUUGUGUGCUUCUCAUUGGACAAACUCAAAAAGUUUUGUACUUCCAUUCAAUCAGUUCAAAUUCUACAUCCCUUUCUCUCUUCUCUCUCCCGUUUUCGAUCUUCUAUUCUUCUCAAACCCUACAACAUCGUCGUCCCCUUUCUCCUUCCAUCUUCGUUUCUCAUUCCUCUGCCACUCUCAAAAAGGGUUUCUAAAAAGAAAAUGAUGAAGGUACACCACUUAGAGAUCAAAGACAUAGAACAAGAGCAUGAGUUGGAAGAUCAAAGUGAUGGAGCACAGGGAAGAAUCGAAGAAAAUUUAUUUUCUCUGUCUCUAGCAUUUUCCAGUCUUCCCUUUUUAUGUUCUUUUGAUUUGAAUGAAUUUUCUCUAACUUUAUUUUGAUUGUGUUCUAUCAAUAGGUUUUGAAUCUUAUAUUGGAGUAAAUUUCUUGACUCAAAUUUCACCAAUACUGUAUUAUAUACCCACUAGAUGUUUUUUUUAUAAUCCAGUUUCUUCCCUUUUGAUCUAUAAUCUGACAGUGCAAAUGUUACACUUACUGGUGAGCCUUCAAGUGUUACAUGAACCAUGAUUUUCUGUUGGUUGUGUUAUAUAAUUGCUAGACAUUAAGUUGGUGAUCUCUAUUUUGGGUUUUUUGUUUUAGGUUAACUUUUAUGCUAUGAGGUUUAUUAUAGGUUAACUUUGAUGCAAAAUCCAGAAUUACUAAGUUCUACAAGAGGUUUUCAACAAACUAAUAAGAUCCAGAAGUUUGAAAAAGCACUUAAUCAAAUUAAAGACGAUUCCAAAUCAAAUCCUGAUGCAGCCCCUCAGUAUUGUAGAUGUUGCAACUUUCUUAGUACAUGGAAGAAGUGCAGCAGCUGCUAAAGCCUCAUCAAGUGAUAAAACUGCUGCCAUAUUAGCUAUACAUGUGGUUGGUGACAGGGCUUCAGUGAAUGCAAAGCUGAUCAAUGGAUGUUUGCGGAAACACCAUUUUUCUCCCUCAAUGGAUGGUCAACUGGAUUGCGAAGCUGAUUGCAAAAAUUCCAAUUUGAAAUAACUAGGAUGUUUGCGGCGAUUGCAGACCCGUUGGAUCUUAUGGCUAUAAUUAAUGGCUUCUACUAUGCAUAUAAUAAGAAGAACUCGAAUAUAUGAAAGUUGUGACAAAGCAAGUAACAAUAUGCUAAAUGGAAUCAAGUUAGAGUUUGUUGGAGAUUGAAGGGCUGAGAUCAAAUCGAAAGUGAGGGAGUUUAUGGUGUGAUGGUGCAUGGUUUUCUUGCUGGGUGCAUCAGAUUUGCAGUUUGGUGCACUUCGGUUUAUGCUGCGAUUCUGGUGUGGAGUUAUGUUGAGUUGUUCUUUUUUGUAUUUACGGUGCAGGUUUGCCUUUGGUUUAAUGAUGCUGAACCAGAUCACUUUUAUGCACUAUCCUUUUUCGGUUAGUUUCGUUGUGGGUCUGUUCUGUCUGCAUAAUUUAAUUAGACGAUUGGUUUGAAUGAAGGGCGGUCUUGCUGCAAAAUUAUGCAGGUGGGCCAAUUUCAUUGUCCUUUUUCUGUCUGUCAAGAGAUGGAAACUUAUUUGUAUGUUUAGGUUUGAAGUAAGAAAAUUGUUCUCAUACAAGAUUACUUUUUUAUUAGAAAUAAAUGAAUCAUAUCAGUAGUGUAAAACAAAAUUUAAUAGAAUACUUUUGCAUGUUCCCCAUUUUGAUUUCAUUGAUUUUUACUUUUUAUAAAUUUUUUUUCAGGUAAAUAGAAAUAAAAAUAAGAGCUGAUCUAAUGGAUGCCCACUUGUAUGCAUUCAAAAGAUCAGUUUUACUAGAAGUUCUAGACUAGGAGUGUGAAUUUCAUAGCUUAAAACAUGAUGUAUUUCAAAAGUUUUAGAUCAGUUCUUGCAGAUCAGUUCUACUAGAAGUUAUGGAUCCGAAGUGUGAGUUUCAUAGUUUAAAAACACUAGAUGGUACCUUUGAUAGGUUCUGCAUAUAAUUUUAACUAUUUACUCUUUCAGUGUAAAAAUUUACUGUAAAACCUCUCCUCACUUUCACUUUUAUUUAGAUGCUGAAAGU
Molecule: long non-coding RNA, 2130 nt
Organism: Vicia villosa (hairy vetch)
Lineage: Eukaryota; Viridiplantae; Streptophyta; Magnoliopsida; Fabales; Fabaceae
Exons: 7
Source: RefSeq, a predicted model, not a curated record